AGCACGAUUCGCUGCUGUAGUGUGCGGAUUGUGCAGCUCCUACUGUGUUGUUUAUAACUGUAACUCAUUCUAUACAAGAUAUUACACACAUAUUACUCCAUCAGCUGACAACGGGAGAUGCCUGUGUGCUGGCUAGUGAGUGAAGAUGAUUCUCACAAACCCAUUCAGCUUCAACACCAUCAAACUGUGACUUUGGGAAGAGGACCAGACACUAAGAUAAAAGACAAAAAGUGCUCCAGAGACUAAGUUGAAUUGAGAGCUGAUUGCAAUAGAGGAUUUAUCAGUGUUAAACAGCACUGGAGGAUUCUACAGUUUUUAUAACAGCAGAAGAGGUGAAAUAAAAACAAUCACACUAACACCUCGUUGGUGUUUGCUGUAUCUAAAUGUUUAAUCAUUGACAAUAUUCAUCCCUAUUUUUAUCCUCACUUCAAUGCAUAUUUAGUUAUUUUAAUUAGAUAAUCAAGGGUUUUAAAUUGAAGUGAGUGCAUGCACCUCUGUGCCCAUCAUAGUAAUGAAAGACUAAACAUUUUUUGUUGUCAUUCUAUAAACAGAUUUUAAAAACUAAACUCACCAUGUUCUUUAAAAACUCAACAAGUUCAAGUAACUGAGGCACUUUUCCAAACACCACAGACAGCAGAAACAUGCUUUCAGCAUGUAGCGAGCACAGGCAUUUUACUACAGGAGUUAAAUAUGACUUGUUGCCAUUUCAACGUCACUUGUUCUUAUGGGUGGUAUAUAAAAAUAUAUAAAAUUCAGGAUUUUGCUGGCUAAGUAAAAUUAAGCAACACUGAAUAUUGCGAUGAUUUUAACUUGGACAUUUCGUUUCCUAAAUACUGCAUAAUUAGAUUAGACACAGUCUCUCUUUGCAAAUAUAAUCAGAGAAUUACGACAGAUAUUUUAAUAGCAUCACUGAUUUUAAUUUCAGCGUUAGAGUUGAUUAAGUUGAUUCAUUUUCAUGAAUUAAUUCAAUGAAUUCCAUCAAACCGCUGCAAUGAAUCGAUUCAUAAAUCACCUCUAAUAACUGUGUUUGUGUCAAAAUGUGUCAAAAAAAAAAAGUCUCUGCAGGGCAUUUUUCAUUUAUAAAUAUUUUAGUAAUAAUAUAUGUAGGUACAGUAUAUAUAGCUGUUUAUUACUGUGAAUAGUUAUAUUGGUGCAUAUAAAUGAAAAUGACUAAAUAGCAUUCUUGUAUUCAUUUAGCAACAACUAACUGAUUAAUAAAUCUAAUAUAAAUAAAUCUGUUUAUACAUAUAUUUAUAUUUCUAAUUAAUAAAUAAUAAUAAAAAGUAAUGCUUUGAUAAUUUGAUUAAGUGUUUUAGAUCUUAUAUUAAGGCUGAAGUGUGUAAUUUCAGCGCCACUGGCACCACCAAAUGGAACUGCAUAAAUAAACAAUGUUUACAAAAGAGCUUUCUGAAUUGAAUCAAACGAACAGAUAGUCCUGCCCCCAACUCACGCCACUGGUCGAGUCAGUUUUGCUGAGUUUCAUGAGAUGAGUCGCACAAAACAAUUUUCAUAGAGCCACAGUGUUUACAGUUUUGACAAAAUUAACCUAUGAAUGGCUUGUCGUCUCUGCAUAUUAAGCUGGGAUAGAAGAAAAUAUUUGAACACUGAAAAAGUUACACAUUUCAGCUUUAAAAAUGUUGUAUGUACUUGGCAACAAUGGCUGUGGUUGCGUUGAUUGACCCCCCCCCCCCCCAAGCAAAUAGCAAACAAAUACUUAAAUACCGAGAUAUACAUCAAAUAUUGUCAAAAGGCUGUAUAAUAUUUUUUUCUAGCUCUAUUACCCAACUGUUUUGUGUCUGACAUACUGUAGUUGACUAGAUAAUCUGACAGUGCACUCGCGCGUCCUUUGAGCUGGUUGUGGAUGUACCUGAGGAUGAGACAUGGAAUCUACACCAGAGUGAUGAUGAAGGCUCCUUUAGCUACUGUGCCCAAAUGAUAGAGCAUCAGGAUCAGAACUGAUGACACGAUAGCGUGAAGGGCAACUGAGACUUAUCUCUACAAUGACAGAAUGAAACAGAGCAUAGUAUGACCACAAAAACUGUAUAGCAGGCUACAGUUGAUGUCAGAAGUUUACAUACAACUUAGCCAAAUACAUUUCAACAGAAUAAUAGUAGAGAAAAUUAUUUAUUUCAGCUUUUAUUUCUUUCAUCACAUUCCCAGUGGGUCAGAUGUUUACAUACACUUUGUUAGUAUUUGGUAGCAUUGCCUUUAAAUUGUUUAACUUGGGUCAAUUUUGGGUAGCCUUCCACAAGCUUCUCACAAUAAAUUGCUGGAUUUUGGCCCAUUCCUCCAGACAGAACUGAUGUAACUGAGUCAGGUUUGUAGGCCGCCUUGCUCACACAAGCUUUUUCAGUUCUGCCCACACAUUUUCUAUCAGAUUGAGGCUUUGUGAUGGCCACUACAAUACCCUGACUUUGUUGUCCUUAAGCCAUUUUGCCACAACUUUGGUGCUUGUGGUCAUUGUCCAUUUGGAAGGCCCAUUUGCUACCGAGCUUUAACUUCUUGGCUGAUGUCUUGAGAUGUUGCUUCAGUAUAUCCACAUAAUUUUACUUCUUCAUGAUGCCAUCAAUAUUUUGAAGUGCACCAGUCCCUCCUGCAGCAAAGCACCCCCACAACAUGAUGCUGCCACCCCCAUGCUUCACGGUUGGGAUGGUGUUCUUCGGCUUGCAAGCCUCAACAUUUUUCCUCCAAACAUAACGAUGGUCAUUAUGGCCAAACAGUUCAAGUUUUGUUUCAUAAGACCAGUGGACAUUUCUCCAGAAAGUAAGAUCUUUGUCCCCAUGUGCACUUGCAAACCAUAGUCUGGCUUUUUUAUGGUGGUUUUGGAGCAGUGGCUUCUUCCUUGCUGAACAGCCUUUCAGAUUAUGUCGAUAUAGGAUUCGUUUUACUGUGGAUAUAGAUACUUGUCUACAUGUUUCCUCCUGCAUCUUCACAAGGUCCUUUGUUGUUGUUCUGGGAUUGAUUUGCACUUUUCGCACCAAACUACGUUCAUCUCUAGGAGACAGAAUGUGUCUCCUUCCUAAGCAUUAUGAUGGCUGUGUGGUCACAUGGUGUUUAUACUUGCAUACUAUUGUUUGUACCAAUGAACGUGGUACAUUCAAGCGUUUGGAAAUUGCUCCCAAGGAUGAACCAGACUUGUGGAAGUCCACAAUUAUUUUUCUGAGGUCUUGGCUGAUUUCCUUUGAUUUUCCCAUGAUGUUAAGCAAAGAGGCACUGAGUUUGAAGGUAGGCCUUAAAAUACAUCCACAGGUACACCUCCAAUUGACUCCAAUUAGCCAAUUAGCCUAUCAGAAGCUAAUUGGAUAAUUGCCUAAAGGCUUGACAUCAUGGGGGGGGGGGACUUAAUGUGCUUUUAAGUCCUUGUGGUCGCGUAGUGAUUCACCUCAAUCUGGGUGGCGGAGGACGAAUCCCAGUUGCCUCCGCAUCUGAGACCGCCAACCCACGCAUCUUAUCACGUGGCUUGUUGAGCACGUUGCCACGGAGACAUAGCACGUGUGGAGGCUUCACGCCAUCCACACGCCCCACCGAGAACUAACCACAUUAUAGCGACCACAAGGAGGUUACCCCAUGUGACUCCACCCUCCCUAGCAACCAGGCCAAUUUGGUUGCUUAGGAAGCCUGGCUGGAGUCACAUUUUUCAAGCUGCUUAAAGGCACAGUUAACUUAGUGUAUGUAAACUUCUGACCCACUGGAAUUGUGAUAUAGUCAAUUAAAAGUGAAACAAUUGGUCUGUAAACAAUUGUUGGAAAAAAUUACUCAUGUCAUGCACAAAAUGUAGAUGUCCUAAAUAACUUGCCAAAACUAUUGGUUGCUAAUAUGAAAUCUGUGGAGUGGUUAAAAAAUUCGUUUUAAUGACUUCAACCUAAGUGUAUGUAAACUUCUUACUUCAACUGUAAGUAUUAUUUUAUUUUUUCUAAAUGAGCUUUGACCUCUGACCUGGUGAAGUAGUAUGUGAUGACAGCUCCCACUAUGGUCAUUUGUUGACAGGUGAUUAUGAACUCACUGAUCCAAAUGAGACCGAAUGAGUGAUACCAAACCAUGUAUUGCAGUGGCCCGUCCAUAUGGAACUCCACCAGGCCCAUCUGGUUAUUCUGCACUGGACUUCCUGUGGAAACACAGUUAUAUAAUGUUAGCAAAACUGUUUGACACUAUAACAAAUAUAUCGUAAGUGCUGCUUUAUCCCUGGAAGUUAAUUCAGACAUUGAAAAGGAAAACAUGAAUCUUUUCUGUAGAAUUGUCAAUUUGUAAGAUUCCUGAAGCCAUGUCCACACUAAUAGGUUUUCGUUUAAAAAAACGCAUUGAUUUCACUAUGUUUACGCCUCUCAUCCACACGAAAAUGCAGUUUUUUGAAGAGUGCUUUGAAAACACUUUCAAUCACUGCAAUUUUUGGAAAACACUGACGUUAGGUAGUUGAAAACUAAAUGGAUUAGUGCAGAUGUGUCUUGAGACCAAUAUAUUGUAGCCAUAGACCAAUAUAUCGUUUCCUGUACAAUGACGUAACUCACUGCUUAACCACCAUAGUAUGAUGCAUAGUUGGAGAAAUUUAGCUAGUCACGACUGUUUCCGGAAAACCUAGUAACUAUGCUGCGCAUCCAUCAUUCAGACCAAGUUGGUUCAACAAUACAGAGUGGUUGUUUAUGAUGUUACGCAGGGGGUGGAGUAAUAACUUCUGCUGAUAUCACAUUAUAAAAGCUCAUUUAGACUGUAAAGGGGUUCAGUGGAAAGGAGGAGGCGAGAACCGGCUUGACAACUUAAAUAAUAAUUUAAUAAACAACUUAACCAAAAACACACAAAUAUAAACACACAGUACAGCUGCCUGUAAUUCUCUCUCUCUCUCUAACUGUCGUCCCCGGUCGCCUUUAUCCCUCGCGCGCCCCAUCAGGCUGAUUGGGGACCGGGCGUGCGUCAUUCCAGCCCGGCCCCGCCCACCUCGGCUCUACAUAGACAUACACCAGAAAGCCAUUUAAUGCAAGAAAGCUGCUGAAGACACGAAAGUAACAUGCACAGUGUAAUGAGACGGAUGCAUUGUGCUGCAAUAGUGGGGUUUCACUCUACACACGUGCACAUGCGCACUCUUCAAAGACAUAUAAACAGCACAUAAACACAUAAAAGCUGUGUUCUCUGACAGAAACAGUGUUAUAAAGCACUUUCUCUUAAUAGUCUUUAAUUCCUUAAAUGGCUGUAUUCGAUUCGAAUUCAUAUUAAUUCAGAAAUUCAUCACAAAACAUCAAAAAAAGAGGUGUAUUUUAGUCAUUGUGUAAAUAAAAUAGAUUUAUAAAGAUUUUUUAAAUAAAUUAGUAGAUCCAGACCCAAAAAAUGAAUGUCGUUUACCCUAUUUCUUAGCAUGGUCUUCUCUAACAAAGCAUGUCAACAGACCAAUGAGGCAUGAUCUUUAAAUUGUCUUUGUUAAAGUCAGAUGUAAUGAGCUCACCGAACACGAGCAGACACAAGCCCAUAAUCAUCUCCUUGGAUGUCAUCUCCCCGGCGAUGACCCUGUACACCACACUGUUGUCGCUGACAAAAGUGAUGAAUGCCUCCACAAACUUGGCAUAGCAGGAAAUAUCAACUGGCAUGCAGUGGUGGAAGACUGGGGUCCAAGAAAACACAUACCUACAAUAAUGCCAUUGAAAAUGUGUUAAAGAUAAAGUUGUGUUUCCAUACCCUGGCUGAGAGUAAAGGUAAUUCAAGGAACACAUAAGAUGUUUUGCAGAAUGUCCAAGCAGUCAAUCUCCAAAAGUACAAAAAAAAAGCAACCAUGAAAAGUAGUCCAUACUAGAGGUUCUUAUUACGAACCGUCCGAAUGAACAGAUUCGCUGAAUGAAUUGGACACAAUACGUUGAAGUAGCGGAACGAACGGAAUAGUGCAGACUUUUAAAAUAGGAAAUGGUAUGUAACUGUCAUGCUGAAGUUGGAAUUGCAUACUACCCAUACAACUUUUACUACUUCUCCCACUGCAGAAAUAAUACAAGUAGUGCGGUAGUUUGCAAUUCCGAACUCAGCCUCAGUGUCUGCAACCAUUGUAUGGGCUGCUAAUGCUGUCAGGCACAUUACAUUAAGUGACUAUUGACAGAUGACAUAUUAUUGCAAUCUAUUAUUAUUUUCCCCUUCACCAGUGGGAAUACAGAUGAGAUAACUUCACAAUACAGCAACAUGUCACAAAUGUGGAGAUGGCAAGGAUUGAACCCAGGUCUUCACACAUGCAAAUUAUGCACUCUACCACUGAGCUACAUCACCAAUUAAGUGCUGAUCAGAGUUGCAGUUUUCACCUGGCAGACAAUACAAUUAUAUAUGGAGUUAUUGAAAUGUCAUACUGAAUUAUUUUUAUUUAUGUUUAAUAUUUUUUAUUAUUAUUUGUUACUGCUUAAUUAUUAUUAGGCUUUUAUUUUUUUGUUCUUUUUUUUUUUUUUUUUCUCAUUACUCGUGUGUGUAUUGAUGCAUUGGCAAUAUUGUAUGUAAACACAAUCAUGCAAAUAAAGUUACUUGAAAUUGAAAAAUUAC
This is a long non-coding RNA of Myxocyprinus asiaticus (Chinese sucker), 6498 nucleotides long. RefSeq lists it as uncharacterized. The record is from RefSeq and is a predicted model, not a curated record. Lineage: Eukaryota; Metazoa; Chordata; Actinopteri; Cypriniformes; Catostomidae. The transcript is spliced from 7 exons.